RNAcentral lists this ribosomal RNA (503 nucleotides) under uncultured bacterium. RNAcentral's name for it is "bacterial SSU rRNA". It matches the Rfam family "Bacterial small subunit ribosomal RNA", at positions 29 to 526 of the family's 1533-position model. The record is from RNAcentral.
AUUGAACGCUGGCGGCAUGCCUUACACAUGCAAGUCGAACGGCAGCACGGGAGCAAUCCUGGUGGCGAGUGGCGAACGGGUGAGUAACAUAUCGGAACGUGCCCAGUCGUGGGGGAUAGCCCGGCGAAAGCCGGAUUAAUACCGCAUACGACCUACGGGUGAAAGCGCGGGAUCGCAAGACCUCGCGCUAUUGGAGCGGCCGAUAUCAGAUUAGCUUGUUGGUGGGGUAAAAGCCUACCAAGGCGACGAUCUGUAGCUGGUCUGAGAGGACGACCAGCCACACUGGGACUGAGACACGGCCCAGACUCCUACGGGAGGCAGCAGUGGGGAAUUGUGGACAAUGGGCGCAAGCCUGAUCCAGCCAUGCCGCGUGCGGGAAGAAGGCCUUCGGGUUGUAAACCGCUUUUGUCAGGGAAGAAACGGUCCGCGCUAAUACCGUGGGCUAAUGACGGUACCUGAAGAAUAAGCACCGGCUAACUACGUGCCAGCCGCCGCCGUAACAC